This 232-nucleotide ribosomal RNA is filed under the name uncultured bacterium. Its description in RNAcentral is "partial 16S ribosomal RNA". It matches the Rfam family "Bacterial small subunit ribosomal RNA", at positions 99 to 334 of the family's 1533-position model. The record is from RNAcentral.
CGGACGGGUGAGUAAUGUCUGGGAAACUGCCUGAUGGAGGGGGAUAACUGCUGGAAACGGUAGCUAAUACCGCAUAACGUCGCAAGACCAAAGAGGGGGACCUUCGGGCCUCUUGCCAUCGGAUGUGCCCAGAUGGGAUUAGCUAGUAGGUGGGGUAACGGCUCACCUAGGCGACGAUCCCUAGCUGGUCUGAGAGGAUGACCAGCCACACCGGAACUGAGACACGGUCCAG